CCUACGGGAGGCAGCAGUGAGGAAUAUUGGUCAAUGGGCGCGAGCCUGAACCAGCCAAGUAGCGUGAAGGAUGACUGCCCUACGGGUUGUAAACUUCUUUUAUAAAGGAAUAAAGUGAGGCACGUGUGCCUUUUUGUAUGUACUUUAUGAAUAAGGAUCGGCUAACUCCGUGCCAGCAGCCGCGGUAAUACGGAGGAUCCGAGCGUUAUCCGGAUUCAUUGGGUUUAAAGGGUGCGUAGGUUGUUUUAUAAGUUAGCGGUGAAAUACCGAUGCUCAACAUCGGGGCUGCCGCUAAUACUGUAGGACUAGAGAUCGGAUGCAGCAGGCGGAAUGUGUAGUGUAGCGGUGAAAUGCAUAGAUAUUACACAGAACACCGAUUGCGAAGGCAGUUUGCUAGGCCGGAUCUGACACUGAUGCACGAAAGCGUGGGGAUCGAACAGGAUUAGAUACCCUGGUAGUC
RNAcentral lists this ribosomal RNA (460 nucleotides) under uncultured bacterium. RNAcentral's name for it is "partial 16S ribosomal RNA". It matches the Rfam family "Bacterial small subunit ribosomal RNA", at positions 338 to 795 of the family's 1533-position model. The record is from RNAcentral.